UGAUUGCAGAAAAUGGUGUAAAAAAUAGAGUUUAGUUUGAAAAACUGAGCCAAUAUAUCUAAAUGUUGAUUAAAGUCCUAAUUACAGAAGUUUUUGUCUAAUUGCAGUUGAAAGUCCUAAUUAUAGAAGUUGGAUCAGUAGUUAUGCUAUAGUUGGGGGAGAAGACCCCUUUAUGGUGCUCGAUUUACUAAUAGGAUUUUUUUUUUCUUGUUUAGUUUAGAAGUUGACCUAAGAAACACAAAUACAAACAAAACACAAAAGUUUUGAAGUCCUCUAGAGUUUUGUUCCUAAACUUCCAGAUAGAUAUGUGACAUUAAAAGUAAUUAAACAAAUAUCUCAUUGAUAAAUAUUUUCUUACAAUAGUAUACUAUUGAAAAAAGGGAAAGAAAAUUCGUAUACGUGGCAAGUGAAAUUGGGUGAUAGUUUUAUAGAUUGAAGAACAAUAGUGUUGUAGCUUUGUAUGGGUCUCAGCUAAUAGCAAGCUUAACACCAACGACAAUAAAAUACAGAAAUGUAUUGAAAUAAUUUUGCAGAUUAGCACUUAGGGGCGCGCCAGAAUAUCCUAAUUAUACAAAACAUAAUUACCUUGCUAAAGGCCUUAUGAUAAGCCUUAUUGACAAUGGAAGAGAUAAUACAUUAAAUGCAGCUUGUUAAAGGCCCAUUAUCUUGCAUCUCCUUUUGUGGUGGAGAGCAUUUGAGAUUGGUAAAAGAAAGGAAUUAAUUUGAUAGUAGAUCUAUUUUUUAACAGUUGGAAGAAAUAAGUAGAAAACAUACUUAUGUUGUUGAAAACUAAGAUGAAACCAAACUAAGAUGAAAGGAAGGGUGUUUCGGGGAUCGUAGAGAAAAUAAAAAUUGAGAAUUUUUACCCUGAAGUGAAGGGUUUGAGGAUAGGACUUCAUCUACGGUUUUAAGGUCGAAUUCGUUUCAGCGGCGCAUAGGACCUACUUCUGAGUUGCUCCAUUCCUGUAGGUUAACAUCGAAAACUUCAAAAAGCUUGCCUACAGAGGGAGAGAAAUAGAUAAAGAGUUUGGGUGCGAGUGUUAGUAGGUCCAUUCGGCAGGAAGAACCAGUUGGAGGGGAGGAGGCUGACACGGCAUCAUCCGCUGCUACUUUUUCCCCACCACCACUGCUGCAUGCUCUGCGCUCUGCACCUGCUGCGGAUACUCAUAUCCUCCUCUCACACCCUCCGAUGCCCACGGAGAACCCUCUGAUCAGCUCGGCAUUUCAUCGAACAGGGGCUCGCGAAGAGGUCGGAGAGGGUGCCAGGGAGAGGGCGCGGUGCCGGCGAUAUAUAUAUAUAUA
This 1302-nucleotide long non-coding RNA is filed under the name Ananas comosus (pineapple). Its description in RNAcentral is "long non-coding RNA (ACOM_LNC033535)". The record is from RNAcentral. Lineage: Eukaryota; Viridiplantae; Streptophyta; Magnoliopsida; Poales; Bromeliaceae.